Molecule: long non-coding RNA, 694 nt
Organism: Eucalyptus grandis
Lineage: Eukaryota; Viridiplantae; Streptophyta; Magnoliopsida; Myrtales; Myrtaceae
Exons: 3
Source: RefSeq, a predicted model, not a curated record
CAAAUUUCUCUUCCUCUCUUCUUCUUCCUUGGCCGCCCGCACCAACCCCUCCAUCUUUCUCUCCUCGGCUCUCUCUUUAGGUGUCCUUGCCGCCGUUCGCUGCCACUUAAGGCCGCCGAUCUAGAAAGUUUCUUGUAGGCAUGGAAGUCUCACGUCAAUUUUGGGAGUUGCAAUCUUUCUAGAGGAGCUAAGGUCAUGAAUUACACAUUGCUUGGCAUGCCCUUGGGAACACUCAUACUUUGGACUAAAGUGGAAGAUAAAACCGGUUGUAUGUUUAAUUCGUAUGGUCAUACGAGGGAUUCCAUCUCCGAAGAUUUCGGAGGAUGAUGCCGCCAUUGAGAGACAUUGGAGGGGUGAUGCUCGAAGGAUUUUGGAAGAUGUUUGCGGGUAUGAUUAUGGAAUGAUGCCUAAAAGGAUGCGCGAUGGGGGUUCGGAUGCCAUGCUCGAUUGGGCGAGACACUACCCCAAAUAUUUCUAGAAGAGCUGUAGGGUUACAACAAUGUGUGAUUAAUAAUUCGACUAGAAAUAGCAUAAUAUUAUAGGGUAUUAUGUGAUUCUCAAGGCACUAAAUAUGUGUGAAGUAUUUAAGUGUUAUUGCAUACUUUGAAAGUUGUUUUAUGGCUCUUGCAUGUUUGAUACAACCUUAUAUGAAAUGUGUGAGAUAUGUAUAUAAUUUAAUUGUCAUUUAUAGUAA